CCUACGGGAGGCAGCAGUGGGGAAUAUUGCACAAUGGGGGAAACCCUGAUGCAGCGACGCCGCGUGAGUGAAGAAGUAUUUCGGUAUGUAAAGCUCUAUCAGCAGGGAAGAAAAUGACGGUACCUGUUUAGAAAGCUCCGGCGAACUACGGGCCAGCAGCCGCGGGAAUACGUAGGGAGCAAGCGUUGUCCGGAAUUACUGGGCGUAAAGGGCGCGUAGGUGGGUGCUUAAGACAGGUGUGAAAACUCUGGGCUCAACCUGGAGACUGCACUUGAAACUGGGUAUCUUGAGGGCAGGAGAGGAAAGUGGAAUUCCUAGUGUAGCGGUGAAAUGCGUAGAUAUUAGGAGGAACACCAGUGGCGAAGGCGACUUUCUGGACUGUACCUGACGCUGAGGCGCGAAAGCGUGGGUAGCGAACAGGAUUAGAUACCCCGGUAGUC
This 440-nucleotide ribosomal RNA is filed under the name uncultured bacterium. RNAcentral's name for it is "partial 16S ribosomal RNA". It matches the Rfam family "Bacterial small subunit ribosomal RNA", at positions 338 to 795 of the family's 1533-position model. The record is from RNAcentral.